This 504-nucleotide ribosomal RNA is filed under the name uncultured archaeon. Its description in RNAcentral is "bacterial SSU rRNA". It matches the Rfam family "Archaeal small subunit ribosomal RNA", at positions 351 to 856 of the family's 1478-position model. The record is from RNAcentral.
CACAAUGUGCGAGAGCACGAUGAGGGGAUCCCAAGUGCUGGCACGUAAGUGUCAGCUGUUUCUUAGUCUAAAAAACUGAGAGAGUAAGAGCUGGGUAAGACGGGUGCCAGCCGCCGCGGUAAUACCUGCAGCUCAAGUGGUGGCCGCUAUUAUUGGGCCUAAAACGUCCGUAGCCGGUUUAGUAAAUGCCUGGGUAAAUUGUGUAGCUUAACUAUACGAAUUCCGGGUAGACUGCUAAACUUGGGACCGGGAGAGGCUAGAGGUACUCCUGGGGUAGAGGUGAAAUUCUGUAAUCCUAGGGGGACCACCAGUGGCGAAGGCGUCUAGCUAGAACGGGUCUGACGGUGAGGGACGAAGCCCUGGGGCGCAAACCGGAUUAGAUACCCGGGUAGUCCAGGGUGUAAACGCUGCUUGCUUGAUGUUAGUUGGGCUCCGAGCCCAACUAGUGUCGGAGAGAAGUUGUUAAGCAAGCUGCCUGGGAAGUACGGUCGCAAGACUGAAACU